RNAcentral lists this ribosomal RNA (791 nucleotides) under uncultured bacterium. RNAcentral's name for it is "bacterial SSU rRNA". It matches the Rfam family "Bacterial small subunit ribosomal RNA", at positions 8 to 796 of the family's 1533-position model. The record is from RNAcentral.
AGAGUUUGAUCAUGGCUCAGAUUGAACGCUGGCGGCAGGCCUAACACAUGCAAGUCGAGCGGUAGAGAGAAGCUUGCUUCUCUUGAGAGCGGCGGACGGGUGAGUAAUGCCUAGGAAUCUGCCUGGUAGUGGGGGAUAACGCUCGGAAACGGACGCUAAUACCGCAUACGUCCUACGGGAGAAAGCAGGGGACCUUCGGGCCUUGCGCUAUCAGAUGAGCCUAGGUCGGAUUAGCUAGUUGGUGAGGUAAUGGCUCACCAAGGCGACGAUCCGUAACUGGUCUGAGAGGAUGAUCAGUCACACUGGAACUGAGACACGGUCCAGACUCCUACGGGAGGCAGCAGUGGGGAAUAUUGGACAAUGGGCGAAAGCCUGAUCCAGCCAUGCCGCGUGUGUGAAGAAGGUCUUCGGAUUGUAAAGCACUUUAAGUUGGGAGGAAGGGUUGUAACCUAAUACGUUGCAAUCUUGACGUUACCGACAGAAUAAGCACCGGCUAACUCUGUGCCAGCAGCCGCGGUAAUACAGAGGGUGCAAGCGUUAAUCGGAAUUACUGGGCGUAAAGCGCGCGUAGGUGGUUUGUUAAGUUGGAUGUGAAAGCCCCGGGCUCAACCUGGGAACUGCAUUCAAAACUGACAAGCUAGAGUAUGGUAGAGGGUGGUGGAAUUUCCUGUAGCGGUGAAAUGCGUAGAUAUAGGAAGGAACACCAGUGGCGAAGGCGACCACCUGGACUGAUACUGACACUGAGGUGCGAAAGCGUGGGGAGCAAACAGGAUUAGAUACCCUAGUAGUCC